CCUACGGGAGGCAGCAGUGGGGAAUAUUGGGCAAUGGAGGCAACUCUGACCCAGCAAUGCCGCGUGAGUGAUGAAGGUUAUUUUAUUGUCAAGCUCUUUUCUUUGGAACGAAUAAAUGACGGUACCAAAGGAAUAAGCCCCGGCUAACUACGUGGAAGCAGCCGCGGUAAUACGGAGGGGGGAAGCAUUGUUCGGAAUGACUGGGCGUAAAGGGGGUGGAGGAGGUUUGAUAAGUUAGAUGGGUAAAACCCAGGGCGUAACUUGGGAGCUGCCUCUAAAACUGUUAGACUUGAGUACUGGAGAGGAUAGUGGAAUUUCUAGUGUAGCGGUGGAAUGCUUAGAGAUUAGACGGAACAUCAAUGGCGAAGGCGACUAUCUGGACAACAACUGACACUGAGGCACGAAAGCGUGGGGAGCAAACAGGAUUAGAUACCCCAGUAGUC
This 443-nucleotide ribosomal RNA is filed under the name uncultured bacterium. Its description in RNAcentral is "partial 16S ribosomal RNA". It matches the Rfam family "Bacterial small subunit ribosomal RNA", at positions 338 to 795 of the family's 1533-position model. The record is from RNAcentral.